AUACGAAGGGGGCUAGCGUUGUUCGGAAUUACUGGGCGUAAAGCGCACGUAGGCGGGUUUGUAAGUAGGGGGUGAAAUCCCAGGGCUCAACCCUGGAACUGCCUUCUAGACUGCAAGCCUGGAGGUCAGGAGAGGCGAGUGGAAUACCGAGUGUAGAGGUGAAAUUCGUAGAUAUUCGGUGGAACACCAGUGGCGAAGGCGACUCGCUGGACUGAUACUGACGCUGAGGUGCGAAAGCGUGGGGAGC
RNAcentral lists this ribosomal RNA (247 nucleotides) under uncultured bacterium. Its description in RNAcentral is "partial 16S ribosomal RNA". It matches the Rfam family "Bacterial small subunit ribosomal RNA", at positions 523 to 769 of the family's 1533-position model. The record is from RNAcentral.